UCCUGUUUUGAACCUGCACAGCUCUUUUCUGGAAAAGUUUACAAUUAAUUAAUUUUCAACUCCAAUACAAUAAGAAUAUCAGCAUUUUAUUGACGUAUUAUUAUACCUCAAGGUCGUACAGGGAAUGGAGAAUGAGAAUCAGGCACAUCACUUCCCAUUCUUCCUUGCUCUUGUUUUGUAACUGCUAAAACCUGUCUUCUGGUGACUCGUCUGGCAACACUAGCAAAGCAGUAUUUUCUCUGAUUUUGUCAUAUUUUUACUCUCCAUAAGCAAGAGCAAGGUUAACUCAGAUUUUCAACUGUGAUGCACUGAACAGAGUGAUAAAUUAAUAAAAACAUGAACAUUUGAUCCUCACAAAAGUCAAAAUUCUAAUUAUCUCUGCAGAAAUAGUCAAAAUCAAUUCAUGGUAAGUAAAUACAAUACUUACCUUUGUAUAACAGCUUCCAGUUUGCAGUGUACAUUUAAGUGCUUGGUAUGUAAUUUAAUCUUGCUUUAUCCUUAUAACCAACAUACUCACUUUGUUCUUUUAGAGAAAAACAAUAGAAAUACAGGGAGUAUAGAGUUUUGCUCACCUAACAUUGAGCUGGCAUCAGUACAUCAGAUAGAUAAACAGACCUUUUAUGGUUAUUAAAAAAAAAUUCCUUAAGUGAUAUCAUGAAAAUCUAUAGGACAGAUGGAUCCCCAAAUUAUUCUUUAUAAUUACACAGGUUUUUUGUUUUGAAAGAACACUUCGUGUACUACAGACAUUAAGAAGUCAAUACAAGUUCUCCCUACUGUGGAACCUUUUGUAAGCCAAAUGGCGUAAAAUGAGGGACCAGUACCCUUAAGACAUAUGUUGCUGAUGGAGGCACAGAAUAAAUUGAGGUGCUCCCAGACACGGUUCAGUGCUAUGGCAGCUUAAUGCUGGGAUGCAUUAAGAUGAAGGAAUGACUCAGGGAACGUGCUGUAAGACAAAUGCUGAAAGCUAGAUUUGUUUUUCACCUUUUUUUUUUUUUUUUGUAAAAAUGAAAAUUCUCUUUGGAUUUCUUUUGGUUGGCAAAAAUAAGCACUAAUGUAGGUGUUUUGUAAGAUGAAACAGUAUAAAGUGAGCUUUCAAAACAGAAUACUUGCAGAAUGAGAUUUCAGUCUUCUAAAAUAUUCUGAAUUAUUAAAAUUAUUUUUAAAAGAACUAUUGUGUGAUUUACUGACUGGUCAGGCUGUAUUACAGCAUAGGCUGUCAAAUGAGUGCUACUCAGGGAGGAGACCCAGUGCAUGGUCCAAGGUCACUGAGAACAGUCAGCCGUGCUCACCAGAUUCAAGUAGUCUAGCACUUAAAAAAACAAGACGGGAGAGCACCCAAGAUCGAGCCUUUUGCAGUGUGUCCAGUCCCCAGGGCCAGCAAGUCUGCUCUGCAGCCAACACAGGAAGUACUAUAUGUUUUAAAAGUUGAAGUGAGUGAAGAAUAAGUGGGUGUCAGUUAUUCCUUUGGGGUAAUUGUUUCCCCCCCGUAAACUUGAGAAAAUCAGGUCUGGAUGAGACUAGAUGGGCACGGAAAGAUGAGUCUCCAUAGAAACAUCACUUGGAGUUCCCGUCGUGAUGCAGCGGAAACGAAUCCAACCAGGAGCCAUGAGGUUGCAGGUUUGAUCCCUGGCCUCCCUUAGCAGGUCAAGGAUCCAGCAUUGCCAUGAGCUGUGGUGUAGAUCACAGACACAGCUCGGAUCUGGCGUUGCUGUGGUGCGUAGGCUGGUGGCUACAGCUCCAAUUAGACCCCUAGCUUGGAACCUCCAUAUGCUGCGAGUGUGGCCCUAAAAAGACAAAAAGACAAGAUAUUAUCACAUUUAUGAGUGAAAAACUUGACCAUAGGAGAGGUCAGUGUCAUCUGCAAAUAGGCUUUUAUUUCUAUGAUGCUAUAGAAAACUCUGAAGACUCCACCAAGAAACUGUUCAGACUAAAAUAGAGUAAACUUGCAGGGUCCAAAAUCAAUACAGAGCAAUCUGCUGUAUUUCUGUUCACUAACAAUGAACUAUCAGAGAAAUUAAUCCCAUUUACAGUUGCAUCAAAAAGAAUGAAGUACCCAGGAAUGAAUUUAAAGAGGUGAAAGAUUUGUACACAUGAAAACUACAAGAUGAAAGAAGUCAAGAAACAGAGGAAAGAUAUUUCAUGCUCAUGGACUGAAAGAAUUAAUAUUGUUAAAAUGUCCAUAGUACCCAAAUCAACCUACGAAUCAGUGCAAUCCCUAUCAAAAUUUCAAUGGCAUUUUUCACAGAAGUAAAAUGAACAAUCCUAAAAUUUAGAUCCACAAGAGCACUGGAAUAGAAAAGCAAUCUUGAGAAAGAACAAAACUGGAGACACUUCCUAAUUUCAAACUAUAUUAUUAAGCUACAGUAAUCAAACAGUUUGAUGUUGGCAUAAAAACAGACACAUCAACCAGUGCAACAGCCCAGAUGUAAACCCACACAUACAUGGUCGAUUCAUUUAUGACAAAAGCGCCAAAAAUAAAAAAUAGGGGAAGGACAGUUUCUUUAAUGGUGUUGGGAAAAUUGGACCCCCUUCUUACACCAUACACAACCAACUCAAAGUGGAUUAAAGACUUGAGUGAAACAUAAAACUCCUAGAAGAAAACGGGGUGAUCUCCUUGACAUCAAUCUUGUUGGUGAUGUUUUAGAUUUGAAACCAAAAGCAAAAAUAAGUGAGACUACAGCAAAUGAGCUGCACAGCAAAGGAGACGAAAUGAAAAGACAACUUACAGCAUGAAAGAAAAUAUGUGUAAAUUGUACGGUAGGGGGUUAAUGUCCAAAAAACACGAACUCAUAUAACUGAAUAGACAUUUUUCCAAGAAGCCAUAAUUGACAAACAGGUACAUGAAAACAUGCUCAGCACCGCUAAUCCUCAGAGAAAGGCAAAUCAAAACCACAAUGAGAUAUCACCUUGCACUUGUUAGGAUGGCUGUCAUCCAAGAGAUGAGAGAAUAAAUGUUGGUGAGGAUCCAGAGAACCUCCUACACUGUGGGUGGGGUUCUAAAUUGGUGUAGGGGUCAAAAGUGUAUAUUGGAAAGGAGCUAAGAGUGGAUCUUAAAGUCCUCAUCACAGAAAGAAUAACUAUCAGAUGUGAUGUGACAGAUAUUAACUAUACUUAUUCAUUUAAACUUAUAUAUAUAAAAUCGUCUUCUACACUUUAAUAUCCAUAUUAUAUGUCAAUUAUAUCUCAAUAAGAUGGGGAGGGAGACAAGUCAAUAUAUGGGGUUAGCUAGAUUGUGUUAAGUUUGUCAUAGAUCAAAUUCUUGACCUUUAUGAAAUUGCCCGUAUUGCUAAAAUUUUAAUUCUUCAAAGAAAUAACUUGAUAAAUAUUUGUAGGUCUUGCUGUAAUGCAUUCCCUUAAAAUAGAAUUUUUGGAGAAUUUAAAUAGAAAGCCACAAGUUAAAUCUUUUUUAAAUUCAUAUCCUCUGAAAUGUUUAAGCAGCUUGGAAAUGUAUCUUUUUUAGGAAAACAGUUCAUAAAAUUACAGUGAGCUCAUGGCCACAGAAAUAAAAUCUUAUGCCAUCAAUUGUAUAUUGAAUAACUUUUAAAAUUAGGCACAAAAUAAUUUAUUAAAAUAGAAAACACUAUUUAAUUUUACUAAGAGAAGUAUUGACGCGAACGUGCUUUUCACUUGGGUUCUAAAAUUUAUAGCUAAAAACCAGCAGGUGUCACUGUGAUAACGAAAGUCUUUCUUGCCCCCCAAGCGAUUUCGUGACCAUGGGCGCAUAGCACCUAUGAACAAAGAAGCGUAAGAGGUAGCGAACUUAUAUUAUAUCCUGAACAAAAAUACCAAAAUGUGAGAAAGUAUAUAUAGUAUCUCCGGAGGCUUAGGAGUACUUUUGAGAAUUAUAUUGUUUCCUUUCUUCCUGUUUUUCUUUAAUUAUAUAAUGUGAGGGUUUUAUUAGCAUUAGAAUUGUAGUAACCCCCCUGGUGAUGCUUUGGACUUUUUAUUAAAGUGUAGAAUAGCACACAGUUCAUUAGGUUACAACCUGCAUAACCAAAAUCAAGUCAAGAAAGAAAGCAUUCCCUCUAAUGUUUGUAAAGAGAUUUGGAAAAACCCUUGGUUCUUUCCUCCAAAUUAAGGUAGAUUUAUAACUUUUAAAUUAAUUUUUAGAGAUAAAAAUGUGGCAAUUUGUCGAAAAUAAUAGGAACCAAAGAGCUAGGUGUCAGGGCAUCUUCUUCUCACCGAGUAUAGGACCCAAAACAGCAUUUAAUAAACAUUUCUUCAUUGAGGCAUUGCACUGUGUCUGGACUUUAUUCUGAGAAAACUGUGGUCAACGCUAGCACUCCAUCUUAAUGAAAUUUUUGAUCCAGUUGUGCACUUGUAAUAAUGAAAUAGAAAAAAAAAGGACCAUAAUAUUACAUAGUAUCAUAUCAAAGACCAUGCCAAACAAAGCAGUUUAUGAAUAAGUGGACUCCUAGUAGGAACUAUCUUUGUAAGUUAUAAUCAGAGCAUCAUUAGUAAUAAAGAUAAAACCUGAAUGCGGUGGGAUUUAGAGAAUGGAAAGAAAGGCGAACGAUCUGGUUCAGUUUAGUUCAGUAAGGAUUUAUGGAGCACCUGUGGUCCAGCCACUUCGCAUUCCUAGAUAACUUGUAGGGAUGAAAAAUGAAGAAAGCUCUGUUUCUGCCCUUGUUGAUCAAAAACACAGAUGGAAAUACUGGUACACUUAAACGAUAAUUAACAGACUUCUUUGAUGUUGUAAACACUGGUAGAUAAGACUGGGAAUUGGCAAAUGCACUGGUUUGAGGGUCAAAAGACCUAGGUUUUCGUCAAGCUUCCGUUGCAAAAUUUACGUGGGGGCUUAAACAACAUCAUCAGACAACUUCCACAUCAUUUUUGAUUUUAUUAACUUGUGCGUAUCACAGGUAAUAAUACUGUUAGAUCAAGUGACACGAUGAAAGUGCGACAGGAAGUUUAUAGGGUCACGUGUGUGACUGAUAGAGGAGAGGACGACCCUGCACAUGGAGUUUUGAGACUGCAGCUGAAAAUCGCAGUUCCUGGUCUAGACAGGGCAGGGAUAGAGGUGAAAAUCUCGGUGUGGAGUUUAAGACGGAGGGAACUUCUAACACCCAUAUAUGGGUAUGUCUGUGCCCUGUUUACACUUCUUGGGACAGUAAAUUUAGGUAAUCAGCCCGGUUGCUUUUUCACAUGUAUUCGUAAUUGUUAGCCCAAGUGACUGAAUUUUUUUCCUCUUGAGAACAUCAUCACUCUUAGUUGGGAAGAUCAGAAAGAUGUUAAGAUAGCAAGAAGCUAUCUUUGUCUCUUAGAUAAAUAUUUUGCUUUUAUAUAAUUAAUGAGAAAAUACUGUGGCGUUUUAUUAAGCAGCUACGCCUGUUUAAGGAUUUCCCAUUUCCUUUCCCAGAAGACGAAAUUGUUCGAGGACAAAGAAUGUAUUUCUUGCUGGUUUAUAUCCCCUGCUUCGACCAUGGGCUGUGGGUUAAAAAAGGAAAGUCUGCUCCUUGGUAUAAGACCAGUCAUGAGCUGGAUUAAGGGAGGCUUGAAUCACCCUUGCUGCAUAUGCUGCCUUUGUGUUUUACUGUGAUUGAAUAUAAAGAAAAAGACCAGAAGAACAUACCCAGUAAUGUUUAGUCUCCACCACCCAGUUUCUGGUCUACCACCACCUACCUUAGAGCCCUUGCUGUUUCUCUCAGGAAAGCUUUGAAGAUAAACUGUAUACUGUAAAAGCAGAACGCUUGAAGUCUUAUCUCUU
This 5707-nucleotide long non-coding RNA is filed under the name Sus scrofa (pig). Its description in RNAcentral is "lncRNA (ENSSSCG00035051345.1)". The record is from RNAcentral. Lineage: Eukaryota; Metazoa; Chordata; Mammalia; Artiodactyla; Suidae.